This is a long non-coding RNA of Perognathus longimembris pacificus (Pacific pocket mouse), 148 nucleotides long. RefSeq lists it as uncharacterized. NCBI's taxonomy places the organism in Eukaryota, Metazoa, Chordata, Mammalia, Rodentia, Heteromyidae. The transcript has 3 exons. The record is from RefSeq and is a predicted model, not a curated record.
AGCUGCGUCAGGCAUGUGUACCAGCACUGUAACCUUACGGCUUCCAUGAAAGGGCUCUUCACCUGCAGCCUGCUUAGGCUCUUGGCCGGCUCUCUUUCCAGCCUUGGAGCUGGUUCCAGAGUGAUCUGGGCCCAGUUUCUGAUCCUGA